RNAcentral lists this ribosomal RNA (392 nucleotides) under uncultured bacterium. RNAcentral describes it as "bacterial SSU rRNA". It matches the Rfam family "Bacterial small subunit ribosomal RNA", at positions 30 to 421 of the family's 1533-position model. The record is from RNAcentral.
AUUGAACGCUGGCGGCAUGCCUUACACAUGCAAGUCGAACGGCAGCGCGGGGCAACCUGGCGGCGAGUGGCGAACGGGUGAGUAAUAUAUCGGAACAUGCCCAGAAGUGGGGGAUAACGUAGCGAAGUUACGCUAAUACCGCAUACGAUCUACGGAUGAAAGUGGGGGACCGCAAGGCCUCAUGCUUUUGGAGUGGCCGAUAUCUGAUUAGCUAGUUGGUGGGGUAAAGGCCCUACCAAGGCGACGAUCAGUAGCUGGUCUGAGAGGACGACCAGCCACACUGGAACUGAGACACGGUCCAGACUCCUACGGGAGGCAGCAGUGGGGAAUUUUUGGACAAAUGGGGGGCAACCCUGAUCCAGCAAUGCCGCGUGUGUGAAGAAGGCCUUCGG